GCGUCUUAGAGCUCGGAUAGAUCAUGAGACUCUUAAUCUCAGGGUUGUGGGUUCGAGCCCCACGUUGGGCA
This is a non-coding RNA of Podarcis lilfordi (Lilford's wall lizard), 71 nucleotides long. The record is from the annotation of a GenBank genome assembly. NCBI's taxonomy places the organism in Eukaryota, Metazoa, Chordata, Lepidosauria, Squamata, Lacertidae.